CCUACGGGUGGCAGCAGUGGGGAAUAUUGGACAAUGGGCGAAAGCCUGAUCCAGCCAUGCCGCGUGUGUGAAGAAGGCCUUCGGGUUGUAAAGCACUUUCAGUGGGGAAGAAAGCCUUGGGGCUAAUACCCUCGAGGAAGGACAUCACCCACAGAAGAAGCACCGGCUAACUCCGUGCCAGCAGCCGCGGUAAUACGGAGGGUGCGAGCGUUAAUCGGAAUUACUGGGCGUAAAGCGCGCGUAGGCGGUCUGAUAAGCCGGUUGUGAAAGCCCCGGGCUCAACCUGGGAACGGCGUCCGGAACUGUCAGGCUAGAGUGCAGGAGAGGAAGGUAGAAUUCCCGGUGUAGCGGUGAAAUGCGUAGAGAUCGGGAGGAAUACCAGUGGCGAAGGCGGCCUUCUGGACUGACACUGACGCUGAGGUGCGAAAGCGUGGGUAGCAAACAGGAUUAGAUACCCCUGUAGUC
This 465-nucleotide ribosomal RNA is filed under the name Vreelandella stevensii. RNAcentral's name for it is "partial 16S ribosomal RNA". It matches the Rfam family "Bacterial small subunit ribosomal RNA", at positions 338 to 795 of the family's 1533-position model. The record is from RNAcentral. Lineage: Bacteria; Pseudomonadati; Pseudomonadota; Gammaproteobacteria; Oceanospirillales; Halomonadaceae.